Colossoma macropomum (tambaqui) is the source of this 688-nucleotide long non-coding RNA. RefSeq lists it as uncharacterized. The record is from RefSeq and is a predicted model, not a curated record. Lineage: Eukaryota; Metazoa; Chordata; Actinopteri; Characiformes; Serrasalmidae. The transcript has 4 exons.
CUAAGACGUUGUGUACUUUGUCCACGCUGCUCCUUGCUGACUACCUGCUCCAGAAGAAGCCAGAAAAAAUAUCUCUAAGCCAUCCUUUCACUGCUUCUAGUUCUUGACUGAUCAGGAAUUGUCCCAGUCAUGAGGAAUCUAUCUUCACAAACUGCAAGUGACAAAGAGAUUGACCAUAGACCUUCACAUCUGUUAAGAGCUGAGUAUAUUUAGCAGAGAGGGUCAUGCCAGUCUGUAGUGAACACCUGAUGGUCAACAUGUGAGUCUUCAUGCAGAACUGGUGACAGUGCACAGUUUAAGUUCCAGUCGUCAUCCAACAUCAUGUCCAUGUGAGACUCUAUCCCAUGUUGAGCACCCUUUUCGGUCAAGUUUGGACUCAGUGACUAAUUAUUCUUGGUCAGCCAGGGCAAGUGGCUAUUUUUUUUCAUGAUGUUUAUUCAUUCCACCAUGGAUUCUCCUUUAUAUAUAUAUAUAUAUAAACACGUGCUGUUUUUUCAACAUCUUAACACCACUUUGUUAGUAUCCUGGGCAAGUGAUUGGAUCAUGCAAGAAAAGUUUCUUAAAAUUUAUCAAAAUACUCUGUACCUAUAUGUUAUUUAUGUAUUAUUUGUGUUAUUUGUUGUUUCUUUUGUUAUCGUUAGCAGUUGUUGACUGUUAAAUCUAUACCUAUUAAUUGUAAUUCCUUACG